RNAcentral lists this ribosomal RNA (312 nucleotides) under uncultured Paracoccus sp. RNAcentral's name for it is "bacterial SSU rRNA". It matches the Rfam family "Bacterial small subunit ribosomal RNA", at positions 1 to 346 of the family's 1533-position model. Lineage: Bacteria; Pseudomonadati; Pseudomonadota; Alphaproteobacteria; Rhodobacterales; Paracoccaceae. The record is from RNAcentral.
UAGUGAGUUUGAUCCUGGCUCAGAACGAACGCUGGCGGCAGGCUUAACACAUGCAAGUCGAGCGAGAUCUUCGGGUCUAGCGGCGGACGGGUGAGUAACGCGUGGGAACGUGCCCUUUGCUACGGAAUAGUCCUGGGAAACUGGGGUAAUACCGUAUACGCCCUUUUGGGGAAAGAUUUAUCGGCGAAGGAUCGGCCCGCGUUGGAUUAGCUAGUUGGUGAGGUAAAGGCUCACCAAGGCGACGAUCAGUAGCUGGUCUGAGAUGACGACCAGCCACACUGGAACUGAGACACGGUCCAGACUCCUACGGGA